AAGUCGUAACAAGGUAACCGUAGGUGAACCUGCGGUUGGAUCAUUUCCGAUAAUUCGCCCUGACGAAGGGUCGAACAACACCUGUGCACACAAACUCCUGAUCAUUCUGACUGACCAGUUUCGGCGCUCGACGCCUUUAAUCUUAAACAACUUUCGACAAUGGAUCUCUUGGCUCUC
This 177-nucleotide unclassified non-coding RNA is filed under the name fungal sp. RNAcentral describes it as "partial internal transcribed spacer region". The stretch from base 1 to 46 matches the Rfam family "Eukaryotic small subunit ribosomal RNA", at positions 1786 to 1831 of the family's 1831-position model. Lineage: Eukaryota; Fungi. The record is from RNAcentral.